GCAAGUCGCGCGAACAGACGAAGUGCUUGCACUUCUGACGUUAGCUGCGCACGGGUGAGUAACACGUAAGGAAUCUACCUAUAGGCGGGGGAUAACAUUCGGAAACGGGUGCUAAUACCGCAUAAUAUCUUCUUCCGCAUGGAAGAAGAUUGAAAGACGGCUCUGCGGUCACUUAUAGAUGACCUUGCGGUGCAUUAGUUAGUUGGUGGGGUAAAGGCCUACCAAGACGAUGAUGCAUAGCCGACCUGAGAGGGUGAUC
RNAcentral lists this ribosomal RNA (259 nucleotides) under uncultured bacterium. Its description in RNAcentral is "partial 16S ribosomal RNA". It matches the Rfam family "Bacterial small subunit ribosomal RNA", at positions 57 to 305 of the family's 1533-position model. The record is from RNAcentral.